UAAUUAUCAAAUAGAAUAUA
This 20-nucleotide microRNA is filed under the name Schistosoma mansoni. RNAcentral's name for it is "sma-miR-8423-3p". The record is from miRBase by way of RNAcentral. Lineage: Eukaryota; Metazoa; Platyhelminthes; Trematoda; Strigeidida; Schistosomatidae.